RNAcentral lists this ribosomal RNA (206 nucleotides) under uncultured bacterium. Its description in RNAcentral is "partial 16S ribosomal RNA". It matches the Rfam family "Bacterial small subunit ribosomal RNA", at positions 568 to 774 of the family's 1533-position model. The record is from RNAcentral.
CGUGUAGGUGGCCAACUAAGUCAGACGUGAAAUCCCUCGGCUUAACCGGGGAACUGCGUCUGAUACUGGAUGGCUUGAGUGUGGGAGAGGGAUGCGGAAUUCCAGGUGUAGCGGUGAAAUGCGUAGAUAUCUGGAGGAACACCGGUGGCGAAGGCGGCAUCCUGGACCAUUACUGACACUGAAACGCGAAAGCCAGGGAGCAAACG